RNAcentral lists this ribosomal RNA (914 nucleotides) under Hyperbionyx athesphatos. RNAcentral describes it as "SSU rRNA". It matches the Rfam family "Eukaryotic small subunit ribosomal RNA", at positions 81 to 989 of the family's 1831-position model. Lineage: Eukaryota; Metazoa; Arthropoda; Copepoda; Calanoida; Hyperbionychidae. The record is from RNAcentral.
GUGAAACCGCGAAUGGCUCAUUAAAUCACACCUAAUCUACUGGAUAGUAGUCAGUUACUUGGAUACCUGAGGUAAUUCUUCAGCUAAUACGUGCACACAAGCCUCGAACUUACGUGAGAGGCGCUUUUAUUAGAUUCAAAACCAGUCAGCUUCGGCUGUCCCUUUGGUGACUCUGAAUAACUUUGGGCUGAUCGCAUGGCCUCGCGCCGGCGACAUAUCCUUCGAAGGUGUGCCCUAUCAACUGUCGACUGUGGCAUAGACGCCCACAGUGGUUUUGACGGGUAACGGGGAAUCAGGGUUCGAUUCCGGAGAGGGAGCCUUAAAAACGGCUACCACAUCCAAGGAAGGCAGCAGGCACGCAAAUUACCCAAUGACCGAAGGUCGAGGUAGUGACGAAAAAUAACGAUACGGGACUCAUCCGAGGCCCCGUAAUCGGAAUGAGUACACUUUAAAACCUUUUUUAUCGAGGAUCUAUUGGAGGGCAAGUCUGGUGCCAGCAGCCGCGGUAAUUCCAGCUCCAAUAGCGUAUAUUAAAGUUGUUGCGGUUAAAAAGCUCGUAGUUGGAUCUCGGCGGGUAGAGGGCGGUAUGCUUGCUAGCAUUACUGCCCUAUUACCCGUAGUUUUGCUAGAGGUUUCAGGGUGCUCUUAACCGAGUGUCCUGGGAUGCUAGCAGGUUUACUUUGAAAAAAUUAGAGUGCUCAAAGCAGGCUACUACGCUUGAAUAUUCGUGCAUGGAAUAAUAGAAUAGGAAGUCGUUUCUAUUUUGUUGGUUUUCGGAAAUCGACUUAAUGAUUAAUAGGGACAGUCGGGGGGCAUUUGUAUUCAAACGACAGAGGUGAAAUUCUUGGACCGUUUGAAGACAAACUACUGCGAAAGCAUUUGCCAAGAAUGUUUUCAUUAAUCAAGAACGAAAG